ACCAUGCAGUCGAGCGGAGAGAGGUAGCUUGCUACUGAUCUUAGCGGCGGACGGGUGAGUAAUGCUUAGGAAUCUGCCUAUUAGUGGGGGACAACAUUUCGAAAGGAAUGCUAAUACCGCAUACGUCCUACGGGAGAAAGCAGGGGAUCUUCGGACCUUGCGCUAAUAGAUGAGCCUAAGUCGGAUUAGCUAGUUGGUGGGGUAAAGGCCUACCAAGGCGACGAUCUGUAGCGGGUCUGAGAGGAUGAUCCGCCACACUGGGACUGAGACACGGCCCAGACUCCUACGGGAGGCAGCAGUGGGGAAUAUUGGACAAUGGGCGCAAGCCUGAUCCAGCCAUGCCGCGUGUGUGAAGAAGGCCUUAUGGUUGUAAAGCACUUUAAGCGAGGAGGAGGCUACUUUAGUUAAUACCUAGAGAUAGUGGACGUUACUCGCAGAAUAAGCACCGGCUAACUCUGUGCCAGCAGCCGCGGUAAUACAGAGGGUGCAAGCGUUAAUCGGAUUUACUGGGCGUAAAGCGCGCGUAGGCGGCUAAUUAAGUCAAAUGUGAAAUCCCCGAGCUUAACUUGGGAAUUGCAUUCGAUACUGGUUAGCUAGAGUGUGGGAGAGGAUGGUAGAAUUCCAGGUGUAGCGGUGAAAUGCGUAGAGAUCUGGAGGAAUACGCGAUGGCCAACGCGGCCAUCUGGCCUAGCUCUGAACGCUGAGGUGCGAAAGCAUGGGGAGCGAUCAGGACUAGAUGCCCUGGUACUCCAUGCCGUAUACGAUGUCUACUAUCCGCUUGUGGCCUUCUGA
This 792-nucleotide ribosomal RNA is filed under the name uncultured bacterium. RNAcentral's name for it is "bacterial SSU rRNA". It matches the Rfam family "Bacterial small subunit ribosomal RNA", at positions 53 to 837 of the family's 1533-position model. The record is from RNAcentral.